UGCUUUCCCUUCCCCUCGAAGCAAACUUCCCUCACCUUUCCUUUUCAUUCGAGCGCACGCAACACCUCCCCCCUUCCCUAUCGCUUCCUCAGACAGGCCGCCGUCCCAUCUCCCCUUCCCUCUCCUCUCUCUUGCCCCGUUUCUCCUUUGCCUAAACUCCAGAUCCAUGGAGGUAGCUGACAUGGUCGUACGCACUAGAUCGGCAGCCAAGCAGUCUGCAAUGACACCAAGAAAGCCGAGAUCCAAAGGCGCCGCCCCAGUCUCUCCCCGCCAUCGGUCGCAUGCCCAGGCUGAAGCCUUCUUUUGAUGGUAGCAAAUAAAUCAAGGGAACCAUGGCCCAUGGGUGAUGCUUUGGGAAAGAUAGAUAUACAUAAAUUUGGACUAUUUGGUGCCAUCAUACUUCUAUGAUUACCACGAUGAGCACAUUCUUUCUUAAUUCCUUUGUACUCCCUCCGUCCCAUAAUGUAAGACGUUUUUUGGCUCUAGUGUAGUGUCAAAAAACGUCUUACAUUAUGGGACGGAGGGAGUACUUGAUAUAUUUUGUUCUCAAUUAAACCACCCAUUUGAGAUUGAAACAUCACGGUGAUUCGGGUGUUCUUUUAAGACUUGGGUCAACAACUUCAGGUUGAGUUAGUAUUGUCGUCUCAAUAUGAUAUGUCAUUUUUAUUGUCUUGGAAUUUUUCUGGGACACAAUAGGUCUUAUAUCGCUGCUAUUUGAUGAAUACUUUAUUUCAAACUGGACAUCUAAGUAGCCGGCAAAUGCAGUCCAACAAGGUGCAUGGCAAUAAAUACGUUUUUGUUAUGUUUCGCAGCAAGAGACUUUAGUAGUUUAAUAUUCAUCUGAUGCUUCCUGAUUAUAUAUGUAUGUUGUCAAAAGGGGCUAAUCUAUUAUUUUGACUACUUUAGUGGCUACAUUCUGCAACACAUCAUUGUCUUUAUUUGAUGGUGGUUCAGAAUUUUGCACUGAUUACCUCCAAUUGUUCUUUUACAUCUCAGGUAAAUGAAUUUCCAUAUUUUAUAUUAAAGGAAGUUUAAAGAAUAUUGCUUUUGUUGGAUGUUACAUGCCUUACAAAAGGAAACACAAGAGGAGUUGCAUUGGUGAUCAUAGGAUCGAUGAGGAUAGCUGUGCAGCAAGGGCACAAAACUCUAAUGCUUCUUUUGGUUCAUAGGAUAGGAUUAUCAUAGGAAUAGGAAUCUUGUAGGAAAUGAGAUGACAUGUAUCUCAAAUCCUAUGAGUAGGAAUAGGAAACAAGAUGUCAUUUGGUUGACACCAAAGUAAUUUUUCCAUUGAGUCUAGGCUCUUUUUUAUUUUCCUAUGAAAUGUGGAGGAUAGGAACCAAUCCUAUGUAGGAAUAGGAAUCCAUUCCUAUGAACCAAAAGGCUCUAAAGGAAAAAAUCCUAUAAGAAUCCUAUCCUCUAGAAUUCCUAUGAAAUUCCUCUAAACCAAAGGAGGCCUAAGUGGGUGGCGGCAGGGGUGUUUAACAAAUUGAAGGGGGUCCUGUGAAUUCUUGAGUUGUUGCUAUGUGCAAUGAUGGUACAUAUAAUGUUGGUAAAGUUUUUUUUCUUCUUUUGAUUUGAA
Long non-coding RNA from Triticum aestivum (bread wheat), 1579 nucleotides. RefSeq lists it as uncharacterized. Lineage: Eukaryota; Viridiplantae; Streptophyta; Magnoliopsida; Poales; Poaceae. The transcript is spliced from 2 exons. The record is from RefSeq and is a predicted model, not a curated record.